GACGAACGCUGGCGGCGUGCCUAAUACAUGCAAGUAGAACGCUGAAGGAGGAGCUUGCUUCUCCGGAUGAGUUGCGAACGGGUGAGUAACGCGUAGGUAACCUGCCUGGUAGCGGGGGAUAACUAUUGGAAACGAUAGCUAAUACCGCAUAAGAGUAGAUGUCGCAUGACAUUUGCUUAAAAGGUGCAACUGCACCACUACCAGAUGGACCUGCGUUGUAUUAGCUAGUUGGUGAGGUAACGGCUCACCAAGGCAACGAUACAUAGCCGACCUGAGAGGGUGAUCCGCCACACUGGGACGGGGACACGGCCCAGACUCCUACGGGAGGCAGCAGUAGGGAAUCUUCGGCAAUGGACGGAAGUCUGACCGAGCAACGCCGCGGGAGUGAAGAAGGGUGUCGGAUCGUAAAGCUCUGUUGUAAGAGAAGAACGAGUGUGAGAGUGGAAAGUUCACACUGUGACGGUAUCUUACCAGAAAGGGACGGCUAACUACGUG
Molecule: ribosomal RNA, 495 nt
Filed under: uncultured bacterium
Lineage: Bacteria
Description: partial 16S ribosomal RNA
Rfam family: Bacterial small subunit ribosomal RNA
Source: RNAcentral